Molecule: ribosomal RNA, 498 nt
Filed under: uncultured bacterium
Lineage: Bacteria
Description: partial 16S ribosomal RNA
Rfam family: Bacterial small subunit ribosomal RNA
Source: RNAcentral
AUUGAACGCUGGCGGCAUGCUUUACACAUGCAAGUCGAACGGCAGCGCGGGGCAACCUGGCGGCGAGUGGCGAACGGGUGAGUAAUAUAUCGGAACGUACCCAGAAGUGGGGGAUAACGUAGCGAAAGCUACGCUAAUACCGCAUACGAUCUACGGAUGAAAGUGGGGGACCUUCGGGCCUCAUGCUUGUGGAGCGGCCGAUAUCUGAUUAGCUAGUUGGUAGGGUAAAGGCUUACCAAGGCGACGAUCAGUAGCUGGUCUGAGAGGACGACCAGCCACACUGGGACUGAGACACGGCCCAGACUCCUACGGGAGGCAGCAGUGGGGAAUUUUGGACAAUGGGCGCAAGCCUGAUCCAGCAAUGCCGCGUGAGCGAAGAAGGCCUUCGGGUUGUAAAGCUCUUUUGUCAGGGAAGAAACGGUGCGGACUAAUAUUCUGCGCUAAUGACGGUACCUGAAGAAUAAGCACCGGCUAACUACGUGCCAGCCGCCGCAGUAA